This 3895-nucleotide long non-coding RNA is filed under the name Homo sapiens (human). RNAcentral's name for it is "HSALNT0400104". The record is from RNAcentral. Lineage: Eukaryota; Metazoa; Chordata; Mammalia; Primates; Hominidae.
CAAAGCUGCUUGCUAUAUUUGCAUUUGGCUCUGAGCUGACCCCAACCUCAAGUGUUACCUCUUGGUCAUCCACCACUUUCUGAAUAAAUUAUAUUCAGUGGUCCAAGUUCAGAUGACGAGGGAAGGGAAUCUGAUGGAUCCAGCUUGGGUCCAGUAUCCAGGCCUGGUUCAAUUAGUGUCAUCAGGGGUCAGUGCCAUUUAACACACUUUGCCCACCCUCUGUGGAUGGGCAGGAGUGGGUAGAGUCCUGUAGGGUAAGGACAGGGAGACAGCCUUGGUAAAAGUUCAUUUAACAAGGAUGGAUUGCAUAACUGGUUUCAUCAUUGUUAGUAGCAGUAGUCUCUCUAUAAAUCUUAUAAAUCACUUAUAUUGAAAAAAGUCAUCAAGCAUGACUCAAAUAACUUCAGCAGAAAACAGUCACCCUAAUAAAGUCAUUUAAUUAUAUAUGUCUAUAUAUUCUGAAUAUUCAGCGAAGUGGAUUAUGCCACCGGCUGAGUGUAUCCAGAGUGAUGCUUGACAGCUCCUUUUAUUGCUAAUGGCUCACAGAGUUUAUGCCCUUUAGGAAGUGCCAGAAUCAUUAGUACUGUCACUGAAAUGUGCUGUUAAUGUAAAUUCUACUCAGAAAAAUGGAACAGCAAUUGCAAAACCAGCAGCUGGAGAAUGGGCAGCCCAGUGAGGAAAGAUCAAUGGGAGAAAGGCUUGUAACUUUCUCCCAUUUUCUAGAAAUUUGUGACUUUCUAGAAAACGAAGCCAGUCUCAACAGUGCCUCCAAGGACCUGAAGCUUCUCCAAGUGCUGUUUUGAAUGGGAAGGCAGGAGUCGGAACUGGCCAUCCAGGACUGUCUACAUGGCCUCUCUCUCUUCUCAUCUUCCUCUAAGAAAUUUCUCCAGUUUUUCAAUCUUGACCUCUCAGAAAAAAGAGAUUCUGAUCUUGUGAACUGAUGCUGCAUGUUGAAUGAGUUUUCAUCCUGCAUGAUACUUCAUGGAUUUAUUUGCAUUUUAAUUAUUCUUUUAUACAAAAGAGCCAUAGAAAAGAAAAGUCUGACCCAAGUUUUGUCAAGAUAAAGCAGAGUAUGGGAAGUGGGCAACUGUGAGAACUUGGUUAGAGCCAGUCUGUAUAGUUUAGUAUUUAAUGGGGAAGUUUGGGGUGUGGGAAAUGGGACCUAUUUCCUUUGCUCUUGAGGUUAGGUUGAGCCAUCUGGCUCCCUGCCCUGCAGUUCCCAUAACUGAAGAGUUAUACAUCCCAUAACCCCUGCCCACUAGUGAACCCCUUCCUCAGCUCUGGGACUGAUUGUCUUCAAGCUGAGCACACACUGAGCACUGGGCCUGCCUUCUUCCUAACACAGGUUUUUGUAAGCUCCAGACAUUGGAUAAAGCAUUUUGAGGGAUAGGUGAAAACGAAAUCCUGCCCUUUACUCUUGAGAACUCACUCUGCUGUGGGAGGAGAGACAGGCAGCAUUCUGACCACAAUGCCAGAAGACAAUACGGAAUUACUCAGUACAUGAAGCACCAGGAAGAUGACAACAGAAGAGAGAGGACCCAGACAUUGGAAUCAGCAGAGUUGGGGUUUCGCCAUGUUGACCAGGCUGGUUUUGAACUCCUGGCCUCAAGCAAUUCACUGGCCUUGGCAUCCCAAAGUACUGGAAUUACACCUGGCUAAGCCUCUUCUAUUUAAAAAUAGAAAUAAAAGAAAAAAAAAACAGAUCAAAACCAAAAGUUAUAGUGAGAGUGGACAAGCCCUGGACAACAGCAGGCAUGAGGACUUACAGCCCACAUGCUCAGCCACCAGGUGCAAUCUCCAACAUGUGCGGGCUUUGGGAAAACACAAUCGGGCAAGUGAAGUUUGUUGCAGACAAGUUCUUCUUCCCCUCUGCCACAACCUCCUCCAAGGUUACAGGGAGAGCACCCUGUCUGUGAAGAAGCAGGUUCUCAUCUGAUACCAAAUCUGCUGGCACCUUGAUCUUGGACUUCCCAGACUCCAGGACUGAAGAUCACAGAUUGACAUCAGCAGGAAAACUUGCCAGGCAGCAGGAGGAUCCAUUUGAAAACUCACGAGAAAAAGGCCCUUGAGGCCUUUUUCCUGGUUAUUGAAGACAUCUUAGGAAACACUUAUGGUGACAAUUAAUCAAGCAAAAAUAGAUCCAGUUUUUCUGAAGAUCAAGCUUAACAUGUGUGCCAUGCUUUAAAAUGUCUUUCCAGGCACUCUCUCCUGCCCACGGAUCUUGCUUGGGAAAGGAAUGGGGCAAGUGGAAAUGGCCAUUUCUUAGAUGAACACAUCAGGGACUUGCUCCAGUCUGAAGUCUAUACAGAGCUAGGCUUUGAAUCCAGUCACGUAACUGCAUAGCAGCAAAUCAGCCUUUCAGAAUAUUGCAGGAUCAGCAAUGAAAUUCCCUUUGCCAGAGAAAUGGACAAACAAGGAAGCAACAAUGGUGAUGGUGGAAGUGUUCUUCAAGUCUAAGUUUGGGUUCUAGAAACAUCUGGCCAAAUAACGUCUUUCACAACUAAAAUAGAAUAUAAAGAAGCCAUUUGACCUGCCUCAGUUAUCAUGGUCAUCAUGACAAGCUGCAGCAGGACAAAUCAGCUUAACAAUUUCGGAAACUGCCAGAAAUGCUAUUUGGAUUAAUUUUUAUUUGGGAGUUGGCUAAAACUGGUCACAUCCCCAAAUACCUCAAGAUAAACAACAUAGCAUUAUCAUACAAAUCUAUAUUCACCAAAUUAGGUUAAAAUAGGCUGUUUUGAGAAGGUUGAAUUUUUUUAUGGGGAUUAUUCCCAAAAUACGUUUAGACACAAGAAGUUCAACUUUUCUUUUUUCCAUAUUUGAUGUCAAUCAAACUAAUUACUACAUGUUUGGAAUUGCAUUAAUUGUAUUCUUCAGUUACCUAUAAAAUUUAAUUAUCAUGUCUUUAUGGAAAUUUUAAUAUCAGAUAUAAAGAAUGGCAUAUUUAAAAUGACAUUUUAAUACUUUAUAAGAAGCAACAGAAAUUCGACUUCCAAAGCACCUCUCAGUACUACCAUUGGAGUACAUCUAUAUUUUUCUGUCAGAAUACUAUCCAAAGCAAGCAUAAGUAAUCCUUAUUUUCACGAUACAUUGAUGCUCAAAAGUUGUGUGUUCAGCAUGUCUACAAAGUAAAUUACCGUAUAUUUGAAACAGCAGACUAAAACUGAAGUAACAUCUGGAAAAAAUUGCCCUAAUUGCUAGCCCCUAAAUUCAUCUGACCUUGACACUCUCAUCUGAAUUUAAAAGUGUUUUAAAUUCUUAGCCAAUCAAUUCAAGCCAGAACUGAAUUCAUAUGUCUUCAGAAACUGCUAAUCUAGAACAAUGUAACUAGAAUAGAUUCCUGAUCAAACUUUGGUUUUGUUCAGGUAUCCACUCAUUUCCUAGGUGACCCAGAGGCCACAACUCACAACUCCACCCCUUCCCGUGGCUGGUCCAGGCUGUGCAGAUCUUGUAGUCACAAAGUCCUGGCAAUGGGCUGGGGGUGGGAUCUGACCUAGUGCUGACCAACAUGUCAAAAACAGAUGGCUGCAGAACCCUCUGGAAAAGCUUCCCUCAUUCUUAAGGAAUCCUGUGAAGAGAUGGUCUGUUUCUGUCCUGUUCCCUGGAUGUCAAAUGUCUGGGUUUGAGACCCAGAACUCCUGAAGCCAUCUCACAACUACAAGGGGAGCAGAUGUAGCCACUGAGGAUGGCCAAGCAGAGGGAGGGAGGACCUUUCCUGCCAGCAUCGCCAGCGGCUGAAUCACAGCCCAGAACCCCACAGCACCCUAAACGUCCUCUUAACAAAUGUAAUACGUUGUCUUACUGUUUGUGCCUGUGUGAAAAGUCCUCUUUGCUUGCAGUGAAGGCAUCCUAGUUGAUAAACAUGAAAUUUGAAAAUUGGAGAUUUCUUGGAACCAAC